UGGUGGCGACCGGCGCACGGGUGAGUAACGCGUAUGCAACCCACUUAUAAGAGGGGGAUAACCCGGCGAAAGUCGGACUAAUACCUUAUAAAACAGGGGCACCGCAUGGUGAUAUUUGUUAAAGAAAUUCGCUGAUAGAUGGGCAUGCGUUCCAUUAGGUAGUUGGUGAGGUAACGGCUCACCAAGCCGACGAUGGAUAGGGGAACUGAGAGGUUGGUCCCCCACACUGGUACUGAGACACGGACCAGACUCCUACGGGAGGCAGCAGUGAGGAAUAUUGGUCAAUGGGCGGGAGCCUGAACCAGCCAAGUAGCGUGCAGGAUGACGGCCCUAUGGGUUGUAAACUGCUUUUAUAAGGGAGUAAAGUGAGCCUCGUGAGGCUUUUUGCAUGUACCUUAUGAAUAAGGACCGGCUAAUUCCGUGCCAGCAGCCGCGGUAAUACGGAAGGUCCGGGCGUUAUCCGGAUUUAUUGGGUUUAAAGGGAGCGUAGGCCGGAGAUUAAGCGUGUUGUGAAAUGUAGAUGCUCAACAUCUGCACUGCAGCGCGAACUGGUUUCCUUGAGUACGCACAAAGUGGGCGGAAUUCGUGGUGUAGCGGUGAAAUGCUUAGAUAUCACGAAGAACUCCGAUU
Molecule: ribosomal RNA, 630 nt
Filed under: uncultured Bacteroidota bacterium
Lineage: Bacteria; Pseudomonadati; Bacteroidota
Description: bacterial SSU rRNA
Rfam family: Bacterial small subunit ribosomal RNA
Source: RNAcentral